GCAAGUCGAGGGGCAGCAUAGGACUUCGGUCCUGAUGGCGACCGGCGAACGGGUGAGUAACGCGUACACAAUCUACCUUAAGGAGGGGGAUAGCCCCGGGAAACUGGGAGUAAUACCCCAUGUGUUCUAAAAAUCACAUGGUUUAUAGAAGAAAGUUGAGGCGCCUUAAGAUGAGUGUGCGUUCUAUUAGUUAGUUGGUAAGGUAACGGCUUACCAAGACGAUGAUAGAUAGGGGGCGUGAGAGCGUGGUC
RNAcentral lists this ribosomal RNA (251 nucleotides) under uncultured bacterium. Its description in RNAcentral is "partial 16S ribosomal RNA". It matches the Rfam family "Bacterial small subunit ribosomal RNA", at positions 57 to 305 of the family's 1533-position model. The record is from RNAcentral.